CUCUAAAUAAAGGAAAGCAUUUGGCUAGUGCCGAGCAGAGUUCUGGGACUUUAACUCUUUAAGUAGAGGAACAAACGUGGAGACGAAUCCACGCCCUUACGCACAUAAUCUUGCGUAAGCACGCACACUAGGUCCAUUUACGUGCCUAAACAUUCGCAGCCAAUUAGAACUACAGGCACCAUUCAUGCAUCAGGAAUAGGAAGAUGCGGACUUACGUAAUUGAGCUGUAAGCCACACUGGAUGCUAGGAGACUUUGUGAUUGAACAGCAGGAGCCUGAUCUGUUCCCUGACAUGAAAGUACAAGGUUAGUUUUUGCUGCAGUAUCCACUAGGCCUUGGAAGAAUCACCUUACUGGGUUACAGACAGAUGGGAUCAUAUAGUACCACCCUGAGUCCUACAUUUAAUACUGUUUUUGACAUUUCAUGUGGAUGAGAAGAAGAGGUGCCACAGUAACCCUCGACAUGGAUGGGCUACUUAAACUCUAUUGGGUAGGUUUUAUUUUUAUCUCAUACUAUGUGUGGAUAGGAAGUGGCUCCCCAGUGAACCUUCAAGAUGUGGCAGGCUACUUUCACUUCACUGGAGAGCUGUGGUGCCUGGAACAUGCUGGGGAAGCAUAAUUUAGACCUUCUGAGUUUCUUUAAUUUGGCUUGUAGUGAUUUGAAUGAGAAAUGCUCUCUAUAGGCACAUAUCAGUGGUGCUAUUUGGGAAGGCUAUAGAACCUUUUGGACAUCAAGCCUUGCUGGAGAAAGCAAGUAACUUGGAGUGAAAUUUAAUGGUUUAUAGCCUCAUCAUACUUCUGGUUCAUUCUCUCUGCUUCCUGUGUGGAGAUGAAAUGUGAUCAGUCAUCUUCUUGCUCCUGCCACUGUGCCAUGCCUUCUCAGCUGUGAGUAGUCUAUUCUUCUGGAACUAUGUGCUAAAAUAAAGUCUUUCUUCGUUUAGUUUCUAUUGGCCAUGGUAUUUUAUCACAGCAACAUGAAAGUAACUAACACAUGGUUCUAAACUGUUGUAUCCGAUUUAAGUUCAAGGGAUUCAUUACCUUGCUUCUAAGGCUCCAAUCUCUUCAGCUACCCUUCAUUUUCUUCUUCCUCUCCUAAUAUUUCAAUCAUGAAAAUAACAUAUGACCCAUGUGUCAUGCUGGAGGGAGGGCUUCAAAUGGCAUGUGACCUUGUGAUCCUGCUCAUUUGUUUUUAUGACUCAGGGGUUGUUGGGCAGGCUCGAGAGGACAAGAUUCUAGAUAAGAAUUGUCCUAUUGUGCUUUCUCCAGAACACUCAUUCUUCCACAUGUAUGCUUGCAAGCUUGCUCUGGCAACUCUGGAAAUAAGGAAAGGUAGAACACACACAGGGCACUUGAAUGGGGCCAUUUCAAAGAAGCAAGAGUGUUUUGGGUUUACUCAUAAUACUCCUGCUCCUUUUUGUGUAUUCUUCAUUCAAUUGGGUUGAUGCUAUCUGAUUAUUUUUUCUAUUAUUUUCUCCUGUAUUAUUAACCUAUAUUUUAAAAGGAUCUUAACAAAUUUAACCUGACAUUCUCAUUAGGUCUGAAGCCUAAUAUGGAGUAUUUUGACAAGAAGUCUUUCCUCACUAAAAGCCAACAAAACAAAUUCACAGGAAAUAGACCAUCUUGUGGUGAUAAUUUAUUUGUGCUAAAAUGUGGUGAUAUUUGUAGAUGUAACUGUCUUUUUAAAUAAGAAACACAGAGCCAACUGCAGAGUUAAAAAGCCCAAGAGGUUAGAGCAAUAGCUAAGAGCUAAAAACCUUACCCUUCACUGCCACUGCUGUCCUCCUCAGCCACAGAACUACUUCCUGUGUCUCUGCCUUCUUAUAGACUUUCUGUUCUGCCUUCUCAUUGGUUCUAAACCCAACCACAUGACCUCCUCAUCACUGCCCAUCUAUACAAACCUCCAGGGCUUCUAUGGCUGGUAUUGAGAUUAAAGGCAUGUGUCUCCAUGCUGGUGGUAUCCUUGAACACACAGAGAUCUGCCUGUCAUGUGAUCAGGAUUAAGGGCGUGUGCUACCAUUACCAGGCUUCUGCUAUGGAUUGCUAUUAGCUCUGAUCCCCAGGCAAUUUUAUUUAUUAACAUACAAAUAAAAUCACAUUUCAGUACAAAUAAAAUAUCACCAUGUUUCCCCUUUUCUAUUUUAAUAAAAAGAAAAAAGGAAAAAGGUUAUAACAUAAGAAAAACUACAUACAAAAGUACAAUAACUAUAUACCAUAUAUACAAGUAAUAAAUACCCAAACAAUGUCUAGUCCAUUUGCAUUUGACAAAUUCAGAGAAAAUAAUUCCAUUAUCCAUCCUAUUUUGGUAAGUCCAAAAUGUACCUGAUUCACUUUAUCCUAACUUAUAUUACUAACAGAACUGUCUUAUAACGUCUUUCAAAUUUAUACACUUACACCUCUUAGUGAGUUUCUUUUCUGAAAUUCUUAACAAGGAAAACUAUAAUUAUAACUAACUAAUCUUCAACUAUAACUAACUAAUCUUCAACUCCUUCAGAGACCCAAGAAGAAAAUAAUAUUACCAAAUAAAAAAUAAAAACAGGAAGUGCAUGCAAGCAACUUCCAAAAAAAAUGUGAGUUGACUGAAACAGCCAGCUGCCUGGACAGUCACCCAAGAUAUCACCAUAGAUAUUUUAUUUGUGCUUUAAUAAAUAAAGUUUGCCUGGAGAUCAGAGGAAAUAACAAGCCAUUUUAAGUAAACAAAGAAGUUAGGCAGUGGUAGCACAUGCCCUUAAUUCCAUCACUUAGCAGGCAGGAUCUGUGUGCUCAAGGCCACACUAGGGAACAGAGUCAAGCAUGGUGACACACGCCCAGUACCAACCAUAGAGACCUGGAAGUCUGUACAGAUAGACAGAAAGUGAUAGAGCUGUGUAGGAAGAGGAAGUGAGGUAGCUGGGCUAAGAGAGCCAAUGAGAGGGCAGAAAAGCAAAACAUAUAAGGCGUGGGUAUACAGGGAAUUAGCUCACAUUUGGAAGCUGCUGAGUUGGUGAGGUAAGACUAGCUGUGGCUUUCCCUAUUUUCCUGAUAUUUCUCUCAGGCUUUCACCCCUAUAUUUGGCUCCAUGUUUUUUUAUUUAAUAAGACCAUUUAGAAAUUCAUCUACAUCAUCUCACUUUGAAUUUAUUGACAUCAUUUGUUCAGAAUUGUAAGUAUAGGAGGUCCUACUAAGGCCAUCUAUCAGAUUAACUUCCUUGAGAUACCAGGUAUAAACCUCACAUAGGACAAGGCAUAUGUGGUAGUAUGGUGUUCCCCAAAAUAUUGUGCACCCUAAUAAACUUAUCGGGGGUCAGAGAACAGAACAGCUACUAGGUACAGAGGCUAGAAAAUGGUGGCACUCACGCCUUUAAUCCUAGCAUUCCAGAGGCAGAAAUCCCUCUGGAUCUCUGUGAGUUCAAGGCCACAUUGGAAACAGCCAGGCGUGGUGACUCACACCUUUAAUCCCAGAAAGUGAGCCUUUAAUCUCAGGGAGUGAUGGCAGAAAGCAGAAAGUAUAUAAGGCGUGAAGACCAGAAACUAGAAGCAUUUAGCUGGUUAAAUGCUUUUAGGCUUUGAGCAGCACAGUUCAGCAGAGAUUCAUUCUAGAUGAGGACUCAGAGGCUUCCAGUCUGAGGAAACAGGACCUGGUGAGGUGAGGUAGCUGUGGCUUGUUCUGUCUCUCUGAUCUUCCAGCAUUCACCCCAAUACCUUGCUCCAGGUUUGUUUUUAUUAAUAAGAACUUUUAAGAUUCGUGCUACAGGCAUACAAUACCUCUGUUGAAUUAUUCCCAUUUUCUUGAUAUUUCAUGAUCCAGCGCACAGAUGUAGGUCACUUGGAAUGCACUUUGGGUCCAUUCAAGUAUCUCCAUGUUUUGAUGCUGCAGCAUUCUCUCUCCUGGGGACCUGAAUACCUCUCUAUACAUCAGCUAUAGGUCUAAAUACUGGGUUAGGGGCUGAAACAAAGCAGGAUGGUCGUUAGUUUGUUGGGAUAGCAGCUCUCCUGCAUCCUUUCUCUCUCUCAGUGACGAUUCUGGAGAUGAGUGUCAGCCUUGUGUUCUGUGUACCCAUAAGGAGGCCACAUUGAUAUUUCAUCUGUCAGCUGUAUCUACAGCUAACCUAUGGUUCUGGCUGUUCAGUGUUGCAUCUGACCUUUUCUUUUGCUUCUGUUGCUGUGUAGAAUAGGAGUGGGAGGAGGAGGGGAUUUCAUCCAGAACAGGCCUUGCUUACAUUGAGAGGUUGUCUAACAGGAUCUCAUAUGAUCUAGAUCUAAGGAGGAUUUUCUUGCCCUCUCUCCUGAUACCUGUGUUGCAGCAUGUCCUCUGAGCACACUUUAGGAACCUAAGACCCUGGGCUUUUCAAGCCUCAUCUGUUUGGUUUACAGGACUGUACUUCCCUCAGCCUAGAUAAUUUCUUUUCCACUGUGGUUAUGAAGGCCUUUCCAGCCUAAUCAGUGUGGACCAUUGUUUAUUGCUACCAGACUCAUGUACCCUGAGACACAUGCCAGAGAAUGAAGACUUAUUUUUCAGUUGGUACCCCUCAGGCCCCUUAUGUCAUCUUAUUCUGCAAAGCCCCUGCUUAGCACCCUUUAUUCCCAUCCCGUGUUGAUAUCUUGCCCAUAUUGAUGCAGGAACAUGAUUAUACAAGUGUCACCUCUUUCCUCCCUUGCUAUGUGCAGCUCUUUUCAUAUUGUACUAGACCUGCUUUCUGAGUAUGGCUUGGCAGCAGCUUCUCUGACACUUCCUGAUUUACCCAAAACAAUCCUGGCUUUAGCAUUGCAAUUCUAGUACUCUACUUAGUGGGGCAAACACCCACUAAAAGACAGGUAGGGUCAUCUCAUGUGAGGGAGGGCCUCGAUGGGGAGAAUAAUUAUGCAAUAUUUCUCUCCAUUAAGUGGGUUGGAUAUACUAUGUCUUAUAGGAAAGGAAGAGGGUUAAUCAUACUCAAAAGUUUCAGCAAUCCAAAUCAGAUGAAAUUAGGAAAAGGCCUGGUUUAAUGGGUAAAGCAUUCCCGGGUGAUUCCCUGGGCCCACAGAGAGCAGACUGGGACAAGAGACCUGAAGAACCACAUAUCUGGUUUCUGGGAUGCAGCUUAUAUACCCUGUAUGAGUGGUCUUGAGUCUCUCUGGGGGAGGAGCCAUGUUUGGCUGGCUUUCAAGGGGCAGGUUUAGGGAAAGAGAUCGUGGUGGGGGGGGAGUUGAGGUGGAUCUUCCACCAGAACAUUCCAGACUCUUUGGGUAUAGGGAUGCCAGGGUGCCAGACGUUGAGAUGGAGCUCCCACCCAAACACAAGGCCCAAACCGAGAUGGCUUCUAGAGAGACUGAGAGAGGACCAAGGAUGGAACAGACGCAUGUGCGAAGCAAGGUGGUGGCAGAGGGGGCCAGAAAAUCGGAUGGGCUUCAAUUCCUGCAGAAGUGUGGCCCAAACUGAAGUCUGUCCUUGGGUUUCACAGUGAUCGUUGGGUACAGGUGAACAGUCACUUGUUUUCCUGAUGAGAUUUUGAUGCUGAGCUCAUUUGGCUAGUCGGCCUCUGACAGAACUUUGUGUAGCUCUGAUGCACCCUGAGCAUGACAGGAGAGCCACGGAGACAAUAAGCUACAGCCCCAUGAGGGUGUGUAGCCAAGAUACUUCUACUCGAUUCACCUCCUGCUGCAUCCAGAACAUGCCAGAAUAGCUGCUGCUGUUGAUGCAAAGUCAGAAGGCAUGGUACGGGUUUGCCCAGGCAUCUACUGCAUGGCCUGAGCUGCCACUGUGUCCAGGGCAAGGCUGGAUUUAAUCAGAUAGUUCCCUCACCCACUGCCUCUAAACAGGAGAAGCGGUGGUGCUGGAUACAAGAUAAUAAGGAAGGGUGACUUUGAAUGUGUGCAAAUGAUGUUUGCAGAAAGCUAUAGGAGAAAGGCCCUCUUGUUGGAUUAACUAGCUAGUGUUUUUCCAUGGUCUUGAGCAGGACAUUUCCCCAUAGUGCCCUCUGCUGGCCAAGUCCUCCAACUUCACUGUGCAUCAAAGAUGGGGGUCGGCUAUCAGAGCAGGUGUGUUCAGGAGACCCAACCUGAGAUGGCUUCUAGAGAGACUGAGAGAGGACCAAGGAGACCCUGUGAGAGAGAGACAUUAGAUUUCCCUCUAAAGUCUUAUAUGUCUCUGAAGCUCUGCUGUGUUUUAUGGUGUGUGUGAGCAUACAAUCUGUUUUUGUAGGGUGAAUCCCUCAGUAUGGAAUUUCUAGGUUUAUUAGGUAUACAUUUGAUUUUUGAGAUACUGCCAAAGUUUGUUCAAAGUGCUUCUGGUUUUUACAGUAUAUUUUUCUCUGGUUCUUUACUCUGCUCAUCCAUUUCUGCUACUGACACCCUUGCUAAUGAGGUCAUUACACUUCAUCUAUGUGAUUUUUAAGUUUAAAAUUUCAGUUGGGUUCUUUGUACAUUCUAUUAAUUACUAAGACUUUGCACUUUUAGUUUUUCUUUCUACAAAAAGAUUUAUUUAUUUUUAUUUUAUCUGUAUGACUGUUUUGCCUGCAUAUAUGUAUAUUCAACACAUGCAUGCAGUGCCCACAGAGGCAAGAAGAGGGCGUCAGAUUUCUUGGAACUGAGAUACAGUCUGUUUUGAGCUCUUAGUGGGUGCUGGUAAUCAAACCUGAGUCCUGUGGAAGAACACUGAGUACUGUUAACUACUGCGCCAUCUCUCCUGCCCCAAGUUUUACUUUCUUUAAAAGUGAGUUUUUUAUUGCUUAGUGAAGCAUUUUUAUGAUGGUUCAUUUGACAGAUAAUGCUAAUAUGUAUCUUCAGUGUAGAUUCUGCUGUUUUUUGGAUGGUAUGUGAUUUUCUGUUGACUUCUGCACAUGUUCAUAUUGUUUGUCUCAGUCUAUUUAAACUGUGUUGUAGCUGGACGCCUGUGGCACCACCAUAUCAGAGGAUAGAGGAGGGUAUUACUACAUGAGUGAAUUUUGCAGCUACACCUUCAUCCAUCCCAUUUCCACGAAUCCCUGAAUCUCCAGGGAAACUUCAUGUGAUUUCUGGUCAAGAUUGGAAUUUGGGUUCUGAGCAGGACUUCAUCGUUGCCUUCGGCCUGGGAAGGUUAGUGAUGCCUCAUUAUUGCCCUCUCCCAUGUAGCCUGCUACAACAUCUUGGAGGAUUGUGCCUAUUACCACUUGAUCAAGUACCAGCUGUCUGCUAAGCCUUCUUGACACCAUACAGAUGGGUAGGGGGUGACCUGGUGUGAUGGUCUCAAAACAGGACUAGGAUCUGAUCGGAGUUGACACAGCUCUCCUCUGAAGAUAUCAAACCUAAAUGACCUUCUGUGAGCAGUUAUCAGAGCAGAGUUCAUGACAUUGUGGAUAUUUGAGGGUUCUUGUAAGCUGUGUUUGGAAAGGGUGUUAAGUGAGGCAGUUUCUAUUGAUCAGUCUAGCAGACUGGGUGAAGGACAGCCCUGUCUCUUUAUCUCUCCAGUAGAACAGGGCAGCAUUGAACCACAAACUUGAGGAGGAUUGUCAGUGGGCUCCUGGGGCUUUAGCAGAGGAUUCAUUUUAUUCCAUCUGGCAGGAAGCUAAGAAGUUGUUGUGGGAGCCCGUUUUUCGGGUUCCUCGUGGCUUUACCCAGCAGGUCCUCAUAGAGGAUGAUUAGGACCACAGGCUUGAGUGCAGGUGUCUGAGAUGGUCUGCACUUGGCUGUGCUGGGGGAGGAGGUCUUUUGCUCCACCCCUUGGCGUGUCCAUAAAUACCCUGGGGCAGAGACAGUCGGGGGCCGUUGGAAAAGGUUCCAGGCUGUCUCAAGGCUAUCCUUUAUUUUCUAUCUGUUUAUCUCCGCAAGAUUCUCCGCAAUAAAUCCUUCUAUCUAAUAUUUCCUGCUGUUCACACUCAAGAAAACUCUGGGGAGCUGUGGGGUUGGUGGGUAAACACCCCACAAAAUGAUGCCUGAACAGGGACUAAAGAAAAAAAAGGGGGGAGGAACUAAAGAAAAAAAGGGGUGAACCAAAAGAAAAAAAGGGACUAAAGACAAACGAACAAGGACUAAAUGUUAAUUGGUGGCACUGUGUCCUUACCCUGCAAGGAAAUGUCACAAAACACGACAGAAUCUGCUAAUAAGAGUUUUAUUAGAGAUAUAGGGACAGAGAGUGCACAGACCUAUGGGAAACACGUGUGUGGAGAAGAAGGAAGAACCGGGAACAUGGUGCCGGAUUUUAAAGGCUGGGUGUGCACAGAUCGACGUCACUACUUUAUGCAAGCGCAUAGAUCUCAUGGCCACGCUGCGCACCUACGUAGCCAUGGAAUGUCACUGAUCCUGGUCACGAGACACGCCUUCACCCGGAAAAGGCUAUCCUGACCUGGACCUGGCUAGGCAGAAGUGUCCACCGGGCUUAUGCAAACAAGCCCGACCGUGGGGGCGUGUUGUGAACCCUUCACUAAAGACAAAUAGGGACUAUAGAAAAAGGAAAAUAAUAGUUUUAUUACAGUUUUUUGGCGAAAGUGCCAAGUCAGCUCUGCCAGUGGAAAGGCAUGCUGGUGUUAUGGAAAAAAAAAAGAAAUUAUAUAUAUAUAUAUAUAUAUUAUUGAGGGGCAGGGUUUUUAAUCUCGAGAGAAAAGCAAAGCAGACUGGAAGGAUGUCCGAUGCUGCAGCGCAAAAUUCUCUUCUGUCAAAAUUUUCUAUCUUCUAGCCGGGCGGUGGUGGCGCACGCCUUUAAUCCCAGCACUCGGGAGGCAGAGCCAGGCGGAUCUCUGUGAGUUCAAGGCCAGCCUGGGCUACCAAGUGAGUUCCAGGAAAGGCGCAAAGCUACACAGAGAAAACCUGUCUCGAAAAACCAAAAAAAAAAAAAAAAUUUUCUAUCUUCUAUCCCUUUCUCAAUUUCUAUCUGUGAAAAAUAAGUAUAAGGUAUAGGGUAGUAAUAGAGUGUAGGAAAAACUUAGAAGUGUAAGAUCGUGUAGAAAAAAUUAAGUAAGGCAACUAGACAGAAAAACUCUUCAGUUUUCUAACUUUGGGGGCUAUGAAUGCAAACUGGGGGGAAAAUCUUUCUUUGGGCUUUAUGGGUAGUAAAAAAGCUCUUCUCUGAGCUUAUGGGGAAGAAAAAGUUUCCUAUGGAAGCUUUUGUCCUGGGGACAGCUGAAAUGCUAAGUCCAAGCAGCAGGAGGAAGUGUUUCUCCCUGAAGCUAAAAUGGGAGUGUAAAAAGUCAAAAAGUUUAAAGUUUAAACAUUUUGGGAAAAGUUGGUCUAUCUCUCUUGGAAAAAAAAAAAAAAAAACCUUUCUCUUAAACUAAAAGCUUUUCUUGGAAAAUUUGGGGAAAAAAAACUCUCUAAAAAGCCUUAAUCUUUCUCAAAAGCUAUCUUGAACUUAAAAACUAAAGCCUUUCAGAACUCUCUCUCAAAAGGACAAAAAUAAGAAUCACCUGAAGAUAUUAGUAUGGGGACCACCUGUGAUUAGUUCUAAGGGAAAACAACAAACCUCUUAAAACGGCAAAACCUCUCUAAGUUCUGUUACAAGCCUUGAAAAUCCUCCCUGCAAUGCAGGAGGCAGGGACAAGUUCCUAAAAACCUCUUCUAAGCUCUGUCUCUUCAAGCUAGUAAAAGACAGUGGGUCAGAGUACCCUGAGGGAAACGCUUGGGAAAGUGUGGGUAAAGAGCUACAGAGAGCCCAAAAGGUCAGGAAACUUUACCUGAGAAAAGAAAAAAAGCCAAGCUUAUCAAUUACAGCCGUGCUGAGGCAUCAAGGGUUUUGUUUCUGAGUGAGCGUUUCAGAAUGAAAAGGUGCUCCUAAUCGUCCUAAUGCAAAGAUCCCCUGAAGCAUUGUAUCCUCGCUUCUGACCAAAAACCCAGAGGCCACUGGCCAGCGUCUCUGAGUUGGAGUGCAUUUCGGUGAUACUAGGGUUCCUGCAGUUGUAAACUUCCUGGAGCACAGAGCUGAGGCAGGAAGGUGCAGGACCCAGGGGAAGAUGGCUAAUGAACAAACAAAGCUAAAGCCGGUAGGAACGGCACAGUUGUCCGUUCUCCUACAAGUCCCGGGUUGAUAGGUCCGCAGCUGCAAAAAGAAAUCUGAGAAAAGCUUUCCUAUCAGAGUAAGGACCUUUCUGGGAAAACAGUAAAGCUGAACUGUGUCUGAAGCAGUUGUGCUGCUGAGUCACAAUGCUGUCUGUGGAAAGAGCCCAGCCAGGGCAAAACAGAACUAUCCAGGAGUAAUGCUUUCUUUUCUGUCAGAGGAAGCAUCUCUUUGAGAAAAGCUUUGUUUUAACUGACUCCCUGAGACGAGGGAGUGUAACCCUGAAGGGUGAUUGCCUCUUGUAUAAGCUCUGUCCUUGAGCACCCAGACAAGCAAACACAAUCCACUGGGGGACUGGGCCAGGUGAAGGCCUGAUGAGGCAAAGCACCUGUCCUAAUGGGAGUUUAGAAAUGGUAAAAACCUCCCUUGUUAGAUUUUCAGUCUGUACGCAAACCACACAGACCCCGAAAACAAAAAUGGACUAAAGCCCCUACCUUCAGAAGCAAAAAAGCUGUCACUGUGGUGUUGGGAAAUGUUUCUGGGGUAGAGGGGAUAAAUUGAGACCAAACUGGGAACUGUCCAGGAGAAAGACUCUGAAGAAACAGAGAAGGGACAUAAUCCUCCCCAGAAAAUAUAUGUCCUGAAAAAGCUGCUAGAAUUUAAGGCAGAUUUGGGGGGAGAAAAAAGCCCCUACCUCCAAAGGCAGCUAGCAGAGGUACAGAGCUGCAGACCUGAAGCUCUACAUCUGGGGGAGGGGAGGGGGGCGGGGCAAGCAAAAUGAGAUAGAUCAGUGGGAGAAAAUCUCUCUGAAAGAGCUAAGGAAAAGCUGUUGUAAAUGAUCUUGUUUUUCACUGACUGGCUAAAACAGACACAAGCCCCAAGGAAAGUUGCUAUCAGAAAUGCCAGCCUCAAUGCCCGCUAAGGAGGCAGGUGUGGUUCUGAUUCAGGGGCCAGUGUCAAAUGAAGGAGAGACACCUGUUAAAGCCAGCUGAGGAGAGACCAGAAACCUCCCAAUGUCCCAUAGUUGAAAAUGUAAAAUGCCUGUUCAAGUCUCCCAUUGAAAAAGCAAAAAACUUGGUUCAAACCUCCCAGGCAAGAAUUUGUAAGCAAGUCUGAUAAAAAAGAACUUAGAAGUUGACUCUCAGACCCGAAAAGACCUAUGGGAAAUGAAGUCCAAAAGCUAGUUUGCAAUAAGGGACUGAUAUAAGGGAAAUGCAUUCUGGGAAAGGUAGUUUUUCCGAUAAAGAUGGCUACAUUGCCCUGAAACAAUUUUGUCAGCUUGAAAAUACAUUCAUGGUAAACUAAAAAUACAGCUUUUAAAAAAAUGAGGAGGAAAAUCGUCUAAGAGUUUAAGUGUCAGUUCCAAUGAAAAAUUGAAAGGAUACGGAACUAGGUGCCUCGCAGUUUGGGGCUCUGUUGGUAAAAUGCCUUAUUUACCCUAAUAGCUGUGCAAAUUUUUUUAUGGUAGUUGGAUGACAAAAAGCUACCUUUAAGAGCAAACAAGCCACUUUAAAAUCCUUAAGAAAGUAUGAGAAAGCACUUUAUACACUGAAUGUUGUCUUAGAAGGGGAUAAGAAACAGGCAUUCAAAAAAGAAAUGAAUGCUUUAUAGACUGAAAACAAACUUCAGAAAAGCUGUCUUACAAAAGAGUUGCUUCACCUGAAAGUUCCUUAUAAGAAAUCAAUGUUAAAUAUCACUGCUGCUAAUAACAUCAAGAGUUAAAGCUAAUGAAAUGAAAAUAUUAAAUCCUGAAAGUGCUUUUUCUCAGAGUAAGCUAAUGAAGGAUACGUGUCAUGAAAGAACAUCUAUGUUCUUGACUCCUUUGAAUAGUAACAGUUUUGGUGAAAAUAUUGGAACUUAACAAUCAAGUCAAAAUGUUUCAACAAAUUUAAGACGCUAUUUCGCAAAAGAAAGCUGUCAUGCUUUGUGGGCCAUAUUAGAGCUCACUCCAAUCUUCCUGGUCCUUUAGCUGAGGGUAAUUCAAUGGCUGAGCAUUAUCUCAAGUGGAAAUGGCUCAACAGUCGCAUGCUCUUCAUCAAAAUAGCAAAAGUUUAAGAAAGCAAUUCAAUCUUACCAAAGCAGCUCAUCAAAUAGUUAAAUGAUGUGGGGUAUGUCCAAAAUAUUUUCCUGUCCCUCACUUAGGGGUAAACCCUCGAGGUCUUCUUCCCAAUCAUCUAUGGCAAAUGGAUGUUACUCAUAUUGUAGAAUUUGACAAAUUAAAAUAUGUACAUGUGACCAUUGACACUUAUUCAGGAUUUUUAAUGGCUAGUGCACAACCUGGGGAAGCUACAAAACAUGUAAUUAUGCACUGCUUGAAGUGUGUUUCGUAUAUGGGCAUAAAACUGAUAAUGGUUCUGGAUAUAGUAGUAAGGCAUUUCAACAGUUUUGUACCCAAUGGGAAAUCGUACAUAAAACAGGUAUUCCUUAUAAUCCUCAGGGACAAGGUAUUGUGGAAAGGGCUCAUAGCAGUCUUAAAAUACAACUUCAAAAAAUAAAAAUAAAGGAAGAACUUUACCCUCAAUCGCCACAUAAUGCAUUAAAUCAUGCUCUUUUUGUUCUGAACUUUUUGAAUAUGGAUGUCUGUGUGCAGUCUGCCACAGAUAGAUUUUGGCACAGUGGCACCCAAGCGACUUUUGCUCAAGUGAAAUGGAAAGAUCCCUGCUCGGGAUUAUGGAAGGGUCCCGAUCCUGUUUUAAUAUGGGGUCGAGGACAUGUUUGUGUUUUUUCACAAGAGGAGAAUGAAGCUCGGUGGUUACCGUAGCAUUUGGUAAGGAGUGUGGAACUAAGAAAAGUCAGCUCCUAUGACGUUCCUAUAAAGGAACCAGAAUGAAAGUGGCUCAAUUAGUGUUUCUGAGAUUUUGUCAUUGGUUAAUGCAAACAGUGAGGAAAUAGAGUUCGGAGCUGUGCCACUUGUGGCUUUACUAGCUCCUUUAGAAAAAUACUUUAUAUCACCUAAUAGCUGUGCAGUUUUGGUGAAGAGCUUUACAGCAGCUAAAUACGGUAAUUUCAUCCUCAGCAUGAAGUGAAGUUUUUAGGUAGAACGAACCAAAAGUACUGCUGUAAUAGAAAUAUAUUUGUCUGAAUUGAAGCACUUAGGGGAGCUAUUAUGAAUUUGGGUGAAGGGACAGCCUCUAGUUAAAAACCAUUUACCGCUGACAGUGCAUCUCUGCCGGUUCCAGAAUGGCUGAGAGAACUGGCAACUUUGGGGUGUGGCUUCAUCCUAAGAAUGUUACAGUCCCCUAGCAACAAGUAUCACAACUCUAUAACAACAACACUCACUAAAUCCCAGUGUUGUAUAGCAAAGCUGACUAUAAACUCUAAACUUUAGAAAUGAUGUAUGUACUUCCUGUCUAGUUAAGAGAAUCUUUCUAAUAGAGAUAGUGAUGAUAAUUAAGAGUAAGAAGUAGAAAAAGAUGAAAGUAAGAUAUGUGAGUUUGUAGAAAUUCUGUCUUGUUAGAUCUCUGUGUUAAGAAAUCUUUAGGUGUUUGCUAAUUUAAAUAUAUGCUAAUGGUAGCCCUAUAUAAGUUUGUAAAAUAGAUCCAUAGAGUUCCUUUAAGAAUAUAAGCUUGCAAGAAGUAUCUAAAGUAGUCUUAAGACAUAUAGUAAUAAGCUUAUAAGAAGUAAAGAUGCUAGUUGUAAAUGUAAGUUUAAAUAAGAAAUAAGAUGGAAUGAAUAUAAGAAAUAUAUAAGAAGUAAUAAGAAAUAUAUUUGAUAAAGUAGUUCUACAGUUUCCUUAAAGAGUAUAUAAAUAAGUAGAUGUUAAUAUGUUAUAUGUGAGUUUGUAAAAAUGUGUAAAUGUUGAGUGUGAGUUUAUGCUUAAGCACAUGUUAUAUGUGAGUUUGUAAAAGUGUAAAUAUUGAGUGUGAAUCUAUGCUUAAUGUAUAUGGUAAAAGAAUCUGAGACACAGAAGAUAGUGUCCUAGUAGACUGCAAAGUAGGCAGUCUGAAUGGUUUCAAAAGCUCCAGAAGCUGCUAAGAAGCUAAGAAUGGUGGACACCAGAACCAGCACAACAAGGCAUCUGCUGCUGAGAUCCAUGGAAAAUCAACACAACACAGAAAAACCUGAGCUAACAUCAAAAACGGUGCGGUUUAGAAUACUACUGUACCUAAAAAGGUCUCUGUCUGUGAGAACAAAAGUUACAGAGACGCUUGUAUGAACUAAAAUUGUUAAUGCAAAAAGUUUUGGUUGUAAAAUGUCUCUUCAUAUUUGGAAGUGAAAGCCUGAUACCAGAAUUUAUUUCUUGUUUGAACUUUUUGAACUUAAAAUGAGAUAAAACUAUAAAAAGAUUUGUUAUGGAUUUCUUCAUAUUUGGAAGGCUAGUACCAGAAUUUAUAAUUUGAAUUUGGGGAUGGGUUUAUAGAAAUUGUGUAAGUUUGGGUUCCUCUAACUAGGUUUGAGAUUUUUGUUUAAAAGAUUAUAAAGAAAAGUAGUUAUGAGUAAAUUAAGGUUGAAUGUAUGUUUGCAGAAAUUAUGUUUAACCUAUUGAUAUUAAUGCACCCUGGUUUUGUGGAGUUAAGGAAAUAUUUAGGUUUGAUGUGAAUACAUCAGAAGUUUUUCCUAUGUUGUAGCUAGAGUUUUCCUGCCUGGCCCACAGUCAGGACAAAUCUCUGUCACCCGCCAGUCCCACAGCCGCUCAGACCCAACCAAGUAAACACAGAGACUUAUAUUGCUUACUAACUGUGUGGCCAUAGCAGGCUUCUUGCUAACUGUUCUUAUAUCUUAAAUUAAUCCAUUUCUAUAAAUCUAUACCAUGCCACAUAGCUCGUGGCUUACCGGCAUCUUCACAUGCUGCUUGUCAUGGUGGCAGCUGGCAGUGUCUCCCUCCUCCCUUUUCACUUCCCAGAAUUCUCUCAAUUCUCCUCUCUGUUAGUCCCGCCUAUACUUCCUGCCUGGCCACUGGCCAAUCAGUGUUUUAUUUAUUGACCAAUCAGAGCAAUUUGACAUACAGACCAUCCCACAGCACUAUGUUCUGUUAGCAAGAAAAUUCAAAUGAUUAAGAGUUAAAGUUGUAAGACUGAGAAAAUUGUUAACUAUAUAUAGCACCAUAUAUGUUAAUUCAAAUGGUUCUGUAAAGAGUUUGCUUUGAAUUGUAAGACUGGGAGAAUUGUGACCAUGUAUAGCAAUAUUUAUGUUAACCUGUUAAUGGUAAUGAUGAAGCUAAGGGAUUCUUUAAGUUUGCAAUUACAUUAAGUUUUUGGUUUAGAAAUGACUGAUGCAGCUAAAGACUGCUGUAGUCACCUUGGACCUAAUUCAAAAGAGAAAUGCCAUCUUUAUCAUCCUCUACUCCCAUACUGGGAGGUGUAACAGCUAUGGAGAUUGCUGUAAGCCAUUAAUAAUUAGUUAUUUUUUAUAUAUUAAGACAGGGGGACCUGUGGGAGCCCGUUUCCAGGUUCCUCGUGGCUUUACCCAGCAGGUCCGCAUAGAGGAUGAUUUGGACCACGGGCCUGAGUGCAGGGGUCUGAGAUGGUCUGCACUUGGCUGUGCUGGGGGAGGAGGUCUUUUGCUCCACCCCUUGGCAUCUCCAUAAAUACCCUGGGGCAGAGACAGUCGGGGCCCAUUGGAAAAGGUUCCAGGCCAUCUCGAGACUAUCCUUUAUUUUCUAACUGUUUAUCUCUGCAAGAUUCUCCACAAUAAAUCCUUCUAUCUAGUA
Molecule: long non-coding RNA, 15566 nt
Organism: Peromyscus californicus insignis
Lineage: Eukaryota; Metazoa; Chordata; Mammalia; Rodentia; Cricetidae
Exons: 4
Source: RefSeq, a predicted model, not a curated record